Molecule: long non-coding RNA, 266 nt
Filed under: Elaeis guineensis (African oil palm)
Lineage: Eukaryota; Viridiplantae; Streptophyta; Magnoliopsida; Arecales; Arecaceae
Description: long non-coding RNA (EGUI_LNC002670)
Source: RNAcentral
GAUCAAGAUGGGAAUGACCUCUCUAAAUUAUUGGGGUUGAUGUAUCAUUAUAUUUCAAUUUAGUAAAGUCUUAGUCAGGGUAAUCUAUGAGAUGGAUUUGAAAGAUUGAAAUACAAUGUGGAUGAAGCAAUCUCGAUUGACAGUUAACCUGAGACAAUCUUAGAGCAUUCAGAAUUAAAAGGAUGAAUUAUGCAGUAACCAUAUGUAUGGAUUCUAAAAUAUUUUUUUAUGAUAAUUUGACUUAUCUGAACGUUGAAAAUUAUUGC